Molecule: long non-coding RNA, 745 nt
Organism: Saccostrea cuccullata (small rock oyster)
Lineage: Eukaryota; Metazoa; Mollusca; Bivalvia; Ostreida; Ostreidae
Exons: 3
Source: RefSeq, a predicted model, not a curated record
UAAUUUGGGUUUGUCCGUCCGUCCGUCCGUCCGUGUUUACGAGAGUGCAUUUAUUGGGUAUUUUUCAUGCCAAGAUUGUACUUAUUGGGUACUUUUUGCUUAUUGGGUAUACCCAAUAAGAAGUGUCGCUGAAUAUGCUUAAAACACCCUAAUUGGGUAUUUGCAGGUUAGUACCCAACAAAACUUGGACACGACGAUUUGUCCAAAAAAGUGUCCAAAAAAGUUGCUUUCACGGACGCACCGUGUUUUGUUGUUUCAGUUUUACAUUCGGAACUCUAAAUUCUCGAGAGUUCCGAAAAUCAACUUCCGUUGAUCCUGAUCAUAACAACGUUUGUUUUCAUGGAAAAAAAAUAUGGCGACUAAGAAACACUUGAUGUCAACAAGAUUUUCUGAUUGACAAGAGAAAAGGUCAAACAGGAACUUCAAUUGUGAACAUUGCAGAGAACACACUCAUCAGAAGAUGACCCUCAGAAAUAGGACAAUUAAUGAAUAAAAUGGACAGAGGCAGAACUGAAGGAGAUGCAUGAAAUGAGGAAUAUUUCAAAGAUUGCCUGAGCAUAACCACUGCUACUGGAUAAGCAUAUAUCAAUAUAAAAGAGCAGGGUCAAUGGAGGUAUCAUACAGUAUAGGCCAUGAGAGACCCUGAAGAAGAAAGUAUUGAACAGAAACAAAAAUAAAACCAUUUUGACAUUUAUUGAAAUAUAGGAUCAAAGUCUUACAUGUAAAAUUUGGGCAUAUAAUGACU